GCUCAGUGGUAGAGCACUCGUCUAGCACAUGGGAGGUCCUGGGUUCGAUCCUCAG
This 55-nucleotide transfer RNA is filed under the name Ictidomys tridecemlineatus (thirteen-lined ground squirrel). RNAcentral describes it as "Spermophilus tridecemlineatus (thirteen-lined ground squirrel) tRNA". It matches the Rfam family "tRNA", at positions 10 to 63 of the family's 71-position model. Rfam says of the family: Transfer RNA (tRNA) molecules are approximately 80 nucleotides in length. Their secondary structure includes four short double-helical elements and three loops (D, anti-codon, and T loops). Further hydrogen bonds mediate the characteristic L-shaped molecular structure. tRNAs have two regions of fundamental functional importance: the anti-codon, which is responsible for specific mRNA codon recognition, and the 3' end, to which the tRNAs corresponding amino acid is attached (by aminoacyl-tRNA synthetases). tRNAs cope with the degeneracy of the genetic code in two manners: having more than one tRNA (with a specific anti-codon) for a particular amino acid; and 'wobble' base-pairing, i.e. permitting non-standard base-pairing at the 3rd anti-codon position. The record is from Rfam by way of RNAcentral. RNAcentral also lists the same sequence under 1 other name. Lineage: Eukaryota; Metazoa; Chordata; Mammalia; Rodentia; Sciuridae.